AACGAACGCUGGCGGCAGGCUUAACACAUGCAAGUCGAACGGAAAGGGCGUGCUUGUGUCGGGUGCUCGAGGCGCAAGCGGGUGAGUAACACGGGAGUCACCUUCCCUGUACGGUGUGAUGACUGCAGACAACUGCUACUAAUACAGGAUAGCAGCUGCUGCUGCAUGGGGGGGUUUGGAAAUUUUCGGCCGAUGGGGAUGGACGCGCGGCUUAUCAGCUUGUUGGGUGGGGAGUGGCUUACCAAGGCUUUGACGGGUAGCCGGCAUGAGAGGGUGACCGGCCACAUUGGGACUGCGAUACGGCCCAGAGUCCUAUGGGAGGCAGCAGUGGGGAAUAUUGCCCAAUGGGCGGAAGCGUGAUGAAGCAAUGCUGCGUGCGGGAUGCAGGCCUUCGUGUUGUAAACCGCUUUAGCCUGUGACCAAGCUUGAGUGACGUUACCGGCUGAAGAAGCACCGGCUAACUACGUG
This 468-nucleotide ribosomal RNA is filed under the name uncultured bacterium. RNAcentral describes it as "partial 16S ribosomal RNA". It matches the Rfam family "Bacterial small subunit ribosomal RNA", at positions 28 to 507 of the family's 1533-position model. The record is from RNAcentral.